Small nuclear RNA from Lampris incognitus (smalleye Pacific opah), 194 nucleotides. RefSeq annotates it as U2 spliceosomal RNA. The record is from RefSeq and is a predicted model, not a curated record. NCBI's taxonomy places the organism in Eukaryota, Metazoa, Chordata, Actinopteri, Lampriformes, Lampridae. The transcript has a single exon.
AUCGCUUCUCGGCCUUUUGGCUAAUAUCAAGUGUAGUAUCUGUUCUUAUCAGUUUAACUGUGACCUGCUGAAAGACAUCGGUGACUGUCAGACAUGCUUGAGUCUCCUCUUUGGCAGUUUAAUUGCAAUGUCAUGCAUUUUUCACUCUGUUCUUAUAACGUCCUAUUUUACUCUGCAGACAUGGAAUCUAACAA